GGGGCGGGGCCGAGACCGAGCAGGGAGGUGAGGUUGCCUCACCACAUUCCAAAGGCGGGUGUGGUUGUGCUGCUGCAAAUUGCCCUGAUGGCCCCGGGGGACGCCCCGGGGGAUGGAGGGGUGGAACCUCACAGCCUGCUCCCAGUGUGGAGCCACAUGGUGCCCCUGGGGGAUGGGGGAAUACAGGCUUCCCUGAUGUCCAAGCAGGACAAGCCUCUCCCCCCUCCCAGGUCAAUACAACUCCUGGGAAUGGAAAACAAAAUGGUUUUAACUCAGCCUUUUUCCCUACUGCUGCUCCGGUGACCUUUAUUGGAGCAAGACCUCAAAACCGUACUUACAAACCGUUUUCAUACCAAGACAAAAAAGAAAUUUGCAAGGUACAAAGAGAAUUUGGCCGUAAUAGUGAAAUAUUUAAAAGCAUUGUUAAAACAACAUUAACUUCAAAUGACUUAGUUCCUACAGAUAUUAAAGAUCUUUUUAAGUGUUUGCUUACACCAUCUGAAUUUGAAUUAUGGGAAAACACAUGGAAGCGGUUUCUAAAAAACAUACUGGUGGAAUUAUUAAAAACUAAUCCCCAAUAUGUAGAUUUAUUAAAUAAUCCUAUUUCUUUAGAGCAUUUAUGCGGUGAAGGAGUAUGGGAAAAACCUGAGGACCAAACUAGGGCAUUGCCAAAAGCUGUGAUAGAUAAAAUCACUACAGCUGCAGAAAAGGCUUUCACACAGCUACCUACAGCUGACACUAAGGGCAGUUAUAUUAAUGUAAAACAAAUGCCCUCAGAAGGAUUCCUGCAAUUCUUAGACCGAUUAAGAGAACAAGUCUCCCGUCAGGUAGAAGACCCUGUGGUACAGACAGAGUUAGUCAAAGAACUUGCUCAGAGAAAUGCUAAUGAAUCUUGCCGUAGAGUCAUUUUAGGUUUGCCUGUGGAUCCCCCUCCGACCCUUGCACAGAUGUCAGCAGCCUGUGCAAGGAAAGCAGAGAUGUUUUCGCAGGAAAAGAGACCUCCCUGGACCACCCCAAGACCUGUUGCUGCAGUUUCAUCUGAGACAAGGAAUGAACAGAUGACGCCUGACCAGCAACAGCAAAUUUGUUUUUAUUGCAGAAAACCGGGACACUUUGCUAAAAACUGUCCUUUAAAACAACAGAAACACACAGAUACCAGCUUGCCAAAAAAAACUUACAUCACAGCGCUUAUCCACUCAGUGUGCAGACAUAAAUGAAGUGGAAACAAAUCUCUGUCCUUUAAUAAAAAGGGGGAAGGGGGGUGAAAAACUGCAAAAAUAUAAUUGUGAAAAACGUCUGCCUAAUAAGGUCUGGCAACCGCAAAAGCGAUUCAGACUUGUAACUUCUAAAGCUUUUUGUUUCAGAUCUGACCGCUGGACUGUCGUGGGAGUAGAUUUGCAGGAUAAUUCACAAGACCUGGCUGGACUGGAUAGUGAAAUCGCUGAGGGGAACCGGAAGGCUGAUUCCCUUGCUGCCCCAGCCGAAAAGGUAUGUCUCCCUGAUGUGUUUCAGCAGGCAAAA
This is a non-coding RNA of Cyanistes caeruleus (blue tit), 1521 nucleotides long. NCBI's taxonomy places the organism in Eukaryota, Metazoa, Chordata, Aves, Passeriformes, Paridae. The record is from RefSeq and is a predicted model, not a curated record.